RNAcentral lists this ribosomal RNA (447 nucleotides) under uncultured bacterium. RNAcentral describes it as "bacterial SSU rRNA". It matches the Rfam family "Bacterial small subunit ribosomal RNA", at positions 331 to 794 of the family's 1533-position model. The record is from RNAcentral.
CCAGACUCCUACGGGAGGCAGCAGUGGGGAAUAUUGCACAAUGGGGGAAACCCUGAUGCAGCGACGCCGCGUGAGUGAAGAAGUAUUUCGGUAUGUAAAGCUCUAUCAGCAGGGAAGAAAAUGACGGUACCUGACUAAGAAGCCCCGGCUAACUACGUGCCAGCAGCCGCGGUAAUACGUAGGGGGCAAGCGUUAUCCGGAUUUACUGGGUGUAAAGGGAGCGUAGGUGGCAUGGUAAGCCAGAAGUGAAAACCCGGGGCUCAACCCCGCGGAUUGCUUUUGGAACUAUCAGGCUGGAGUGCUGGAGGGGUAAGCGGAAUUCCUAGUGUAGCGGUGAAAUGCGUAGAUAUACGGAGGAACACCAGUGGCGAAGGCGGAUUGCUGGACAGUAACUGACGCUGAGGCGCGAAAGCGUGGGGAGCAAACAGGAUUAGAUACCCUAGUACA